Molecule: ribosomal RNA, 493 nt
Filed under: uncultured bacterium
Lineage: Bacteria
Description: partial 16S ribosomal RNA
Rfam family: Bacterial small subunit ribosomal RNA
Source: RNAcentral
AUUGAACGCUGGCGGCAUGCCUUACACAUGCAAGUCGAACGGUAACAGGUUAAGCUGACGAGUGGCGAACGGGUGAGUAAUAUAUCGGAACGUGCCCAGUCGUGGGGGAUAACGUAGCGGAAGUUACGCUAAUACCGCAUACGAUCUAAGGAUGAAAGCGGGGGAUCGCAAGACCUCGCGCGAUUGGAAGGGCCGAUAUCAGAUUAGGUAGUUGGUGGGGUAAAGGCUCACCCAGCCAACGAUCUGUAGCCGGUGUGAGAGGACGACCAGCCACACUGGAACUGGGACACGGUCCAGACUCCUACGGGAGGCAGCAGUGGGGAAUUUUGGACAAUGGACGCAAGUCUGAUCCAGCCAUUCCGCGUGCAGGAUGAAGGCCCUCGGGUUGUAAACUGCUUUUGUACGGAACGAAAAGGUCUCUCUUAAUACGGGGGGCUCAUGACGGUACCGUAAGAAUAAGCACCGGCUAACUACGUGCCAGCAGCCGCCGUAA